This 950-nucleotide ribosomal RNA is filed under the name Lophogaster typicus. Its description in RNAcentral is "16S ribosomal RNA". The record is from RNAcentral. Lineage: Eukaryota; Metazoa; Arthropoda; Malacostraca; Lophogastrida; Lophogastridae.
AAAUUAAAAAUAAAUUGAGGGGUUAUUAAUUUAUUAUAAUUAUUAAGAGUAAGUUUUAAUAAAUUUUAUAAUUAAAAAAUUAGGUUUUAAAAUAAUUAAAUUUAAAGUAUAUAAAAAUUUAAGUAAAAAUAAAAUUUUUAUUAAUUUAAUUAAAAGAAAAUAAAUUAAAUUUAAUAAGUUAUUUAAGAAAAAAUGAUAAAAUUAGUAAAUAAAAAAUUUAAUAUUAUUGUAAAAAAAAAGGUAUUGACUAAGUUUAAUCAAAGUAAAUUAACUCGGCAAAUAUUUAUAACAUCUGUUUAACAAAAACAUUUUUAUGUGAUUAAAAACAUAAUAAAGUCUGCUCACUGAAAUGAUUUUAAAGAGCUGCAGUAUUUUGACUGUACUAAGGUAGCAUAAUAAAUAGUUUUUUUAUUGAAAACUGGAAUGAACGGCUUAAUGUUUAUAAAACUUUUUUUAUUUUGUUUAUUGAAAUUUAAUUUUAAGUUAAAAUUCUUAAAUUUUUUGAGGGGACGAUAAGACCCUAAAAUCUUAUAUUUAAUUUUUAAUUAUUAUUUAAUAAAAUUUUUAAUUUUUAUUGGGGCGAUAAAUUAAAUGUAAAAUUUAAUGUUUAGUUUAAUCAAUUUAUAUGAGUGAGUUUAACAUUAGGUAAAAUAAAAUAAAGUUACUUUAGGGAUAACAGGGUAAAUAUUAUGGAAAGAUCAUAUUUAUAUAAUAAUUUGCUACCUCGAUGUUGAAUUAAAAUUAAUAAUGAAGUAGAAAUUAUUAUGAAUAAGUCUGUUCGACUUUUAGAAUUUUACAUGAUUUGAGUUCAGACCGAUGUAAAUCAGGUUAGAUUCUAUCUUUUAAUAGAAAUUAUAAUAAAUUUUAGUACGAGAGGAUUAUUUUUAUAUAAAAUUUGUAAUUUAUCUAUAAAUAUAAUUUGAAUUGGUUAAGUUAUUUUUAUUAUUAAU